GAUGAAAACUCCUUUUUUACUAUCUUACAUGCACAAAAGAAACAAUAAAAGCCCCUUUUAUUGGCGUGUAAUAAGUGGGGAUGAAGAGUCCUAGGUUUGUUGGACUCUUACUUGCCUUUUGUCAUCUCCUCUCAUCAAAUCAUGCCCAAAAGAAAUAUAGGAUGCCCAACCACUUAUUUUUCAUGGUAAAACCAGACCUGAUCUAAUUUUCCAUGGUGAGAAACCCCCAUGUUGUCUUACAAAAUAAGAGGAAUAAAAGGAAGUGGCAUCAAGGUCUAAGAGAUAAUGUCAAAUAUUAUCCAUAUGGUAUCCAAUUUCAAAUUUGAUUUGAGCAUACCAAAUAAAAUCAGAUCUUACCCAAAUUUGGAUGUGAGAUAAAGAAGAGAAAGGACUCUUUGAUGUGAAAAAAAUCUCAUGCAAAAACUAUUUCAGCAUGGAGAAAGAUGGCAUCAUAGUGGGAGGCGCAUG
RNAcentral lists this long non-coding RNA (468 nucleotides) under Elaeis guineensis (African oil palm). Its description in RNAcentral is "long non-coding RNA (EGUI_LNC014526)". The record is from RNAcentral. Lineage: Eukaryota; Viridiplantae; Streptophyta; Magnoliopsida; Arecales; Arecaceae.